UAUAUAUAGGAAACUGUUGUGAACACAUAGCCAGGUAUUUUUUUCCCAAAUUUGAUUCUUCAUUUUUUCUUUAACGCAAAAUUUGUCAAUAUUUUGAAAAUCUCAUUGCAACUUCCAGAUUCUCAAAAUUCUGUACUCCUAUAUCUAUCUAUCUGCAAUUCAUCCCCUCUUCCAUCGAAUUUCAUAACCCGCAAUUGAUCUUACCCAUAGAUCAAUCGACCAUGCUUCAAAUCCUUCGCGACCUUCCAAUCGUCCGCUUCUUCGCUACUCCUUUCUUGUUUCGAAAUUUCUCUAUUCUAACAAUGCUUUUGAGACUCACAACCCUAAAUUUCUGAAAAGCAUUGAAACCCUAAGUUCUGAAAGAGGUGACAGCGAUGGAAUUUGCUGGAGACGAAGGUACCACUGCGUAAUGUCAAAAAACCCUUUCCCGUUUAGAAAUCUAAUGUCUCCAAAACCCUUGAUUUUCCCCCAAAGUGCACGAGCACUAAAUUUCUGCAUCUUGUUUAAUUAAUCUCUGAAGCGUGUAAGUAAUGAAUAUAAAGAGCCUCCGUCUCAAGCUGAAAUGUCCAUUGCUACUCAACAAAGUAGGAAAGCAAAGGAGUUGGAUCAAGAAACCAACCAUGCACUUAAAUAGCAAGGAAAUGUUCACUGAUUUGGGGCAUGUGUCUGCACUAAUAUCUAGACAAUUCUAAUCCAGAAUUUAUCAUGAGACUCAAGUUAAUUCAAGUGAUAAGUAUUAUUAUAAGAAAU
This is a long non-coding RNA of Trifolium pratense (red clover), 750 nucleotides long. RefSeq lists it as uncharacterized. The record is from RefSeq and is a predicted model, not a curated record. The transcript has 3 exons. NCBI's taxonomy places the organism in Eukaryota, Viridiplantae, Streptophyta, Magnoliopsida, Fabales, Fabaceae.